Molecule: long non-coding RNA, 326 nt
Filed under: Carica papaya (papaya)
Lineage: Eukaryota; Viridiplantae; Streptophyta; Magnoliopsida; Brassicales; Caricaceae
Description: long non-coding RNA (CPAP_LNC008734)
Source: RNAcentral
CUGAAAUAUUUGGUGGUCAGCGUGUUCUAAUCCCCCUACGUGCUAUGUUUGCCAACUUAGUGGAUCACACUUCCUUAUGUAGCAAAAACGAAUUGUCUGAAUUAUUCGGCCCUGAAGCCCCUCUUCCUCUAGAUCUCUUUCAAAUGCCUCCUAUCAAAAGUGAAAAACAACUUAAGGAAGAAUGGAACAGAGCUGGACCUCGGCCACGACCUCUUCCACCACCUCCAGACAGACCCAUCUACCAACAUGAGAAAGAGGGCUGGUAUGGUUGGAUCACUGAGAAGGAUACAGAACCAGAUCCUUCACCUAUGGAUUUGCGAAUGCAA